CGUGGCGAACGGGUGCGUAACACGUGGGCAACCUUCCCUCAUGUGGGGGAUAACCCGCCGAAAGGCGGGCUAAUACCGCAUAACAUUCCGAUGGCGAUUGCUGUUGGAUUCAAAGCUCGCAAGAGCGCAAGAGGAGGGGCCCGCGGCCGAUUAGCUUGUUGGCGAGGUAAUGGCUCACCAAGGCAAUGAUCGGUAGCCGGUCUGAGAGGAUGAUCGGCCACACUGGAACUGAGACACGGUCCAGACUCCUACGGGAGGCAGCAGUGGGGAAUCUUGCGCAAUGGGCGAAAGCCUGACGCAGCAACGCCGCGUGGGGGAUGAAGCUUCUCGGAGUGUAAACCCCUUUCGACCCGGACGAAUGCCCGCAAGGGCUUGACGGUACGGGUAUAAGAAGCCCCGGCUAACUACGUGCCAGCAGCCGCGGUAAAACGUAGGGGGCCAGCGUUGCUCGGAAUUACUGGGCGUAAAGGGUCCGUAGGCGGUGUGGCAAGUCGGAAGUGAAAUCUCUGGGCUUAACUCAGAGGCUGCUUCCGAAACUGCCGUGCUAGAGUGCGAGAGAGGCAAGUGGAAUUGCGGGUGUAGCGGUGAAAUGCGUAGAUAUCUGCAGGAACACCCGUGGCGAAGGCGGCUCGCUGGACCGCAACUGACGCUGAGGAACGAAAGCUAGGGGAGCAAACAGGAUUAGAUACCCUGGUAGUCCUAGCCCUAAACCAUCAGGACUUGGGGUGGCCCGCGUUGGCGGGUCGUCCCGGAGCUAACGCGUUAAGUCCUGCGCCUGGGGAGUACGGUCGCAAGGCUGAAACUCAAAGGAAUUGACGGGGGCCCGCACAAGCGGUGGAACAUGUGGUUCAAUUCGA
Molecule: ribosomal RNA, 857 nt
Filed under: uncultured bacterium
Lineage: Bacteria
Description: bacterial SSU rRNA
Rfam family: Bacterial small subunit ribosomal RNA
Source: RNAcentral